Long non-coding RNA from Heterocephalus glaber (naked mole-rat), 450 nucleotides. The record is from Ensembl. NCBI's taxonomy places the organism in Eukaryota, Metazoa, Chordata, Mammalia, Rodentia, Bathyergidae.
CGACGGACGCGCGCCUCACCUCGGAGGCAACGCAGCGACCCUGAGCCGGGCCCAUAGCGACUGUAGCUUCCGCAGGGGCUGCGGGUCCUCAGUCUCAAACAAAAAUCUCGAAGGGCCUUUAAAAAAGCUAGAUGGAGCCACUGCCCUCUUUCUAGCCACUCAAGGAGGUUACUUGGAUGUCAUCCGAUUAUUGUUGUCUUCAGGAGCAAAAGUCAACCAACCAAAGCAGGGGGAAUAGAUGCAACUCUCAAACCUAUUAGAUGUCCGAUGCAACCAGUUCGUGUUCCCAAAAUCAAAGAAUGAAUUCUGACGAACAACAGAGGUUAAGAGUAGGAAAUUUUACAGAGCGAGAGACAGCUCCCGAGAGAGACAGAAGAGGACCUGGCCAGUAGGUUGCCAAGAGAGGUUGUUAUUAUUGACAUUACAGAAAUGAAAAGGAUUGAAAGAUUU